Molecule: long non-coding RNA, 707 nt
Organism: Mercenaria mercenaria
Lineage: Eukaryota; Metazoa; Mollusca; Bivalvia; Venerida; Veneridae
Exons: 3
Source: RefSeq, a predicted model, not a curated record
CUGUUCCGUCUGGUGGAGGCAAGUUUUAAUGUGAAAUGCAAUAAAAUGUGUGCAACUUAUAAUUCAAGCUUGUUUACAAAAGGAAAGGAAAUAUAAUAAAAUCAUCUAGGCCAAAAUACGAAAGCUGGUGUUUGCUGAUCGCGGCUAGAAUGGCGGAAAUAUAAACGUAUAUGCAUCACUGACUACAGCUCCAAUCCUUAACCACUUUGAGGAAUUUAUCUUGAAUAUGAAACAAAAUGAAGAGAAAAGUCAGCUGACGAUGUCUGAAUGAUGUUUCCAUCAACCAACAAUUCCUGGUGCCAUUGGAAUCUCUGUAAAAACGUUUAAGACAGUGUAAUUGUUUAACAAAUUAAUACAUAAAUGCUGAUCUACAACAGUUACUUAUUAGUAUUAAAUCAUGUAUGACAUUAUUUUAUUACACCAAGUAUUUUCAAAUCAGAAAUAACAUAUUAUUUAUAGUGCUUCAAAAAUGUUGUUCCACUUUGAAGUUUGUGAUUUUAAGAAUGAGAAAGUCAAACAGAUUUAAGUUACCUUGGUGCAGAUGAUGGUGGGAUUAAAAUAAACUGCCAACCUAUGUAUAUAACAUUAUAAAUCUCUACUUUUUUUAGUUCAGACAUGUUUUGCAGGUGAGAGUCAUGUCUAUUGCAUAAUACCUCAACACAAAUCUUGUUUUAAUGUCUCAUAUGUUGUUUAAAAUAUUUCUCGUA